RNAcentral lists this ribosomal RNA (54 nucleotides) under Rickettsia felis. The record is from RNAcentral. Lineage: Bacteria; Pseudomonadati; Pseudomonadota; Alphaproteobacteria; Rickettsiales; Rickettsiaceae.
AAAGUUUGUAUUGCUAGCUUGGUGGUUAUAGCAUGAGUGAAACACACGAUCCCC